RNAcentral lists this ribosomal RNA (240 nucleotides) under uncultured bacterium. RNAcentral describes it as "partial 16S ribosomal RNA". It matches the Rfam family "Bacterial small subunit ribosomal RNA", at positions 976 to 1213 of the family's 1533-position model. The record is from RNAcentral.
AGCCCUUGACAUGUCCUCUAUGGAUUCCGGAGACGGAGUCCUUCACUUCGGGUGGGAGGAACACAGGUGCUGCAUGGCUGUCGUCAGCUCGUGUCGUGAGAUGUUGGGUUAAGUCCCGCAACGAGCGCAACCCUCGCCCUUAGUUGCCAUCAUUUAGUUGGGCACUCUAAGGGGACUGCCGGUGAUAAGCCGGAGGAAGGUGGGGAUGACGUCAAGUCCUCAUGGCCCUUACGGGCUGGG